GACGAACGCUGGCGGCGUGCUUAACACAUGCAAGUCGAGCGGAGCGGCGAACGGGUGAGUAACGCGUGAGUAACUGCCCCCCUCUCUGGGAUAACAGUUUGACACGGCUGCUAAUACCGGAAAGUGGGGGAUGACUCGCGUCCUAUCAGCUUGUUGGUGGGGUAGUGGCCUACCAAGGCGACGACGGGUAGCCGGCCUGGGAGGGAGACCGGCCACAAGGGGCUGAGAGACGGCCCAAACUCGUACGGGAGGCAGCAGAGGGGAGUAUUGCACAAUGAGGGAAACCCUGAUGAAGAAACGCCGGGUGCGGAAUGACGGCCUGCGGGUUGUAAACCGCGUUCAGCCAUGACGCGGUAGUGGCAGAAGAAGCACCGGCUAACUACGUGCCAGCAGCCGCGGUAAUAC
RNAcentral lists this ribosomal RNA (405 nucleotides) under uncultured bacterium. RNAcentral's name for it is "partial 16S ribosomal RNA". It matches the Rfam family "Bacterial small subunit ribosomal RNA", at positions 28 to 526 of the family's 1533-position model. The record is from RNAcentral.